RNAcentral lists this ribosomal RNA (523 nucleotides) under Lampyridae sp. UPOL RK0093. RNAcentral describes it as "partial 16S ribosomal RNA". The stretch from base 385 to 523 matches the Rfam family "Archaeal large subunit ribosomal RNA", at positions 2542 to 2679 of the family's 2987-position model. The record is from RNAcentral. Lineage: Eukaryota; Metazoa; Arthropoda; Insecta; Coleoptera; Lampyridae.
CAUGUCUUUUUGAUUAUAAUUUAAGGUUUAAUCUGCUCAAUGAUUAUUUAAAUUGCUGCAGUAUUUUGACUGUACAAAGGUAGCAUAAUAAUUAGUUUUUUUAUUGAAAACUGGAAUGAAUGAUUGGACGAAAAAAUUUCUGUCUCUUUAUUAAUAAUUAUCGAAUUUUACUUUUAGGUUAAAAGGCUUAAAUUAAAUUAAAAGACGAGAAGACCCUAUAGAGUUUAAUUUUUAUUAUCAUUUUGAUUUCUUGGAAUUUAUUAUUUAAAUUUUAAUUAUAAUUUAGUUGGGGUGACUAAAAGAUUAGAUUAACUCUUUUAAUUAAUAUCAUUUAUUUUUGAAUAAAAAAUCUAUAUUUUUAAAUUUAAAAUAAAUUACCUUAGGGAUAACAGCGUAAUUUUUUUUUAUAGUUCUUAUUGAAAAAGAAGAUUGCGACCUCGAUGUUGGAUUAAAGUUUAUUUAAGGUGUAGAAGCUUUGUAGUAUUAAGUCUGUUCGACUUUUAAAACUUUACAUGAUCUGAGU